UCCGAAGGGGGCUAGCGUUGCUCGGAAUUACUGGGCGUAAAGCGCACGUAGGCGGCUUGUUAAGUCGGGGGUGAAAUCCUGGAGCUCAACUCCAGAACUGCCUUCGAUACUGGCGAUCUCGAGUUCGGGAGAGGUGAGUGGAACUGCGAGUGUAGAGGUGAAAUUCGUAGAUAUUCGCAAGAACACCAGUGGCGAAGGCGGCUCACGGGCCCGAUACUGACGCUGAGGUGCGAAAGCGUGGGGGGCAAACAGG
Molecule: ribosomal RNA, 253 nt
Filed under: uncultured bacterium
Lineage: Bacteria
Description: partial 16S ribosomal RNA
Rfam family: Bacterial small subunit ribosomal RNA
Source: RNAcentral